This 492-nucleotide ribosomal RNA is filed under the name uncultured bacterium. RNAcentral's name for it is "partial 16S ribosomal RNA". It matches the Rfam family "Bacterial small subunit ribosomal RNA", at positions 29 to 507 of the family's 1533-position model. The record is from RNAcentral.
AGUGAACGCUGGCGGUAGGCCUAACACAUGCAAGUCGAACGGCAGCACAGUAAGAGCUUGCUCUUACGGGUGGCGAGUGGCGGACGGGUGAGGAAUACAUCGGAAUCUACUUUUUCGUGGGGGAGAACGUAGGGAAACUUACGCUAAUACCGCAUACGACCUACGGGUGAAAGCAGGGGAUCUUCGGACCUUGCGCGAUUGAAUGAGCCGAUGUCGGAUUAGCUAGUUGGCGGGGUAAAGGCCCACCGAGGCGACGAUCCGUAGCUGGUCUGAGAGGAUGAUCAGCCACACUGGAACUGAGACACGGUCCAGACUCCUACGGGAGGCAGCAGUGGGGAAUAUUGGACAAUGGGCGCAAGCCUGAUCCAGCCAUACCGCGUGGGUGAAGAAGGCCUUCGGGUUGUAAAGCCCUUUUGUUGGGAAAGAAAAGCAGCAGGUUAAUACCCCGCUGUUCUGACGGUACCCAAAGAAUAAGCACCGGCUAACUUCGUG